GUCAGGAUGGCCGAGCGGUCUAAGGCGCUGCGUUCAGGUCGCAGUCUCCCCUGGAGGCGGUGGGUUCGAAAUCCCACUUCUGGACA
Molecule: transfer RNA, 86 nt
Filed under: Merluccius polli (Benguela hake)
Lineage: Eukaryota; Metazoa; Chordata; Actinopteri; Gadiformes; Merlucciidae
Description: tRNA-Leu
Source: RNAcentral